UUGACCUCGGAUCAGGUGAGGAUACCCGCU
This 30-nucleotide ribosomal RNA is filed under the name Periconia digitata. Its description in RNAcentral is "partial 28S ribosomal RNA". RNAcentral also lists the same sequence under 1 other name. Lineage: Eukaryota; Fungi; Ascomycota; Dothideomycetes; Pleosporales; Periconiaceae. The record is from RNAcentral.